This 465-nucleotide ribosomal RNA is filed under the name uncultured bacterium. Its description in RNAcentral is "SSU rRNA". It matches the Rfam family "Bacterial small subunit ribosomal RNA", at positions 26 to 518 of the family's 1533-position model. The record is from RNAcentral.
AGGACAAACGCUGGCGGCGUACCUAAGACAUGCAAGUCGAACGGGCGCUUCACCUUCGGGUGGGUGUGCUAGUGGCGGACGGGUGAGUAACGCGUAGGAACCUGUCAUCAAGAGGGGGAUAACGCUGGGAAACCGGCGCUAAUACCGCAUGUGGUCAUGAAAAUGAAGAAAGCAGCAAUGCGCUUGAUGAGGGGCCUGCGUCCGAUUAGCUUGUUGGUGGGGUAAAGGCCUACCAAGGCAUCGAUCGGUAGCUGGUCUGAGAGGAUGGUCAGCCACACUGGGACUGAGACACGGCCCAGACUCCUACGGGAGGCAGCAGUUAGGAAAUUUUCCCAAUGGGCGCAAGCCUGAGGGAGUAACGCCGCGUGGAGGAUGACGGCUUUCGGGUUGUAAACUCCUUUCUGUGGGAAGAGUAGAGACGGCACCGCAGGAAUAAGCCUCGGCUAACUACGUGCCAGCAGCCGC